CCUUAGAGUUUGAUCCUGGCUCAGGAUGAACGCUAGCUACAGGCUUAACACAUGCAAGUCGAGGGGCAUCAUGGCGGUCGCUUGCGACCGCUGAUGGCGACCGGCGCACGGGUGCGUAACGCGUAUCGAACCUGCCGCAUACCCGGGGAUAGCCUUGCGAAAGCAAGAUUAAUACCCGAUGUUCUCACUGUUCCGCAUGUUACGGUGAGCAAAGAAUUUCGGUAUGCGAUGGCGAUGCGUCCCAUUAGCUAGUUGGCGGGGUAACGGCCCACCAAGGCUCCGAUGGGUAGGGGUUCUGAGAGGAAGGUCCCCCACACUGGAACUGAGACACGGUCCAGACUCCUACGGGAGGCAGCAGUGAGGAAUAUUGGUCAAUGGACGCAAGUCUGAACCAGCCAAGUAGCGUGCAGGAUGACGGCCCUCCGGGUUGUAAACUGCUUUUAGUUGGGAAUAAAAGGGGGCUCGUGAGCCCCGUAUUGUAUGUACCAUCAGAAAAAGGACCGGCUAAUUCCGUGCCAGCAGCCGCGGUAAUACGGAAGGUCCGGGCGUUAUCCGGAUUUAUUGGGUUUAAAGGGAGCGUAGGCCGGCUUUUAAGUCAGCUGUGAAAGUCCGCGGCUCAACCGUGGAAUUGCAGUUGAAACUGGAGGCCUUGAGUGCACACAGGGAUGCCGGAAUUCAUGGUGUAGCGGUGAAAUGCUUAGAUAUCGCGCAGAACUCCGAUUGCGAAGGCAGCAUGCCGGCUCCACACUGACGCUGAGGCACGAAAGCGUGGGUAUCGAACAGGAUUAGAUACCCUGGUAGUCCACGCAGUAAACGAUGAAUGCUGGCUGUCCGGGGGGAUUGACCCCUGGGUGGCGAAGCGAAAGCGAUAAGCAUUCCACCUGGGGAGUACGCCGGCAACGGUGAAACUCAAAGGAAUUGACGGGGGCCCGCACAAGCGGAGGAACAUGUGGUUUAAUUCGAUGAUACGCGAGGAACCUUACCCGGGCUCAAACGACACAGGAACGGUCCUGAAAGGGGUCGGCUCUACGGAGCCUGUGUCGAGGUGCUGCAUGGUUGUCGUCAGCUCGUGCCGUGAGGUGUCGGCUUAAGUGCCAUAACGAGCGCAACCCCCAUCGACAGUUGCUAACAGGUUAGGCUGAGGACUCUGUCGAGACUGCCGGCGCAAGCUGCGAGGAAGGCGGGGAUGACGUCAAAUCAGCACGGCCCUUACGUCCGGGGCGACACACGUGUUACAAUGGCAGGUACAGCGGGAAGCCACCUGGCGACAGGGAGCGGAACCCGAAAGCCUGUCUCAGUUCGGAUUGGAGUCUGCAACCCGACUCCAUGAAGCUGGAUUCGCUAGUAAUCGCGCAUCAGCCACGGCGCGGUGAAUACGUUCCCGGGCCUUGCACUCACCGCCCGUCAAG
This 1409-nucleotide ribosomal RNA is filed under the name uncultured bacterium. Its description in RNAcentral is "partial 16S ribosomal RNA". It matches the Rfam family "Bacterial small subunit ribosomal RNA". The record is from RNAcentral.